This 513-nucleotide ribosomal RNA is filed under the name uncultured bacterium. RNAcentral describes it as "bacterial SSU rRNA". It matches the Rfam family "Bacterial small subunit ribosomal RNA", at positions 31 to 573 of the family's 1533-position model. The record is from RNAcentral.
GUACGCUGGCGGCAUGCUCACACAUGUGACAAGUUGAACGGGUUUAAGUCUAUUAAACUUAAACAAGUAGCGGACGGGUGAGCAACGCGUAAGAACCUACCUUUAGGUAAGGAAUAACUAUUGGAAACGAUAGAUAAUACCUUAUAAGCUUAUAGUAAAAGAUAAAAUCGCCUAAGGAUGGGCUUGCGUCUGAUUAGCUUGUUGGUGAUUUAAAAGAUUCACCAAGGCAACGAUCAGUAGUUGGUCUAAGAGGAUGAUCAACCACACUGGGACUGAGACACGGGCCAGACCUCUACGGAGGGCAGCAGUGAGGAAUUUUCCGCAAUGGGCGAAAGCCUGACGGAGCAAUGCCGCGUGGAGGAUAGAAAGCUUGUGAGUCGUAAACAUCCUUUAUCUUAGUGAAGAAAUAAGACGGUAUCUAAGGAAUAAGCAUCGGCUAACUCCGUGCCAGCAGCCGCGGUAAUACGGAGGAUGCAAGCGUUAUUCGGAAUUAUUUGGCGUAAAGCGUCUGUA